CUGACCUCAGAGGGGAAAACUGGUGUAUGUUUUUUGACAUUUUUGUGCCUGCUCCACAUAACAGAAAUCCAUAUGAGCAGAGCCUGUUUCCAGUUUCUUUGAGGCUUCUGCAUAGCAGUGUUUCCAGUGUGAAAGCGCAUCAGAAAAUCCACAAAAGAAAGUGAGUGGCCUGGGUAUUACUACCAUAGUGGCAAUCAGUGGAGUGGAGAGCCAUGGUUAAAUACUGCUGAUCUGUAGAUCUCUCCACAUCUGUCAUUUUCCUCUGAUUGGAUUUCAUUCAUUCCCUGUUCUUGAACGCUCCGGUUGUUUUGUAAUAAACUCCUGAACUUCAAUUCAGUUCAGUUUUAUUUAUAGAGCACCAAUACCUCACCUCAAACCACUUCAUGAUGUAAGUUAAAGAUCCUACAGUAUUAGAAAGAAACCCCCAAAUUCAUGACCCCCUUUAAGUAAUAACUUGGCAACAGUGGGAAGAGAAAACUCAAUUUUAAGAGGAAGAAACCUUCGGCAGAACCAGA
This is a long non-coding RNA of Oreochromis aureus, 515 nucleotides long. NCBI's taxonomy places the organism in Eukaryota, Metazoa, Chordata, Actinopteri, Cichliformes, Cichlidae. The record is from Ensembl.